RNAcentral lists this ribosomal RNA (1369 nucleotides) under uncultured bacterium. Its description in RNAcentral is "16S ribosomal RNA". It matches the Rfam family "Bacterial small subunit ribosomal RNA", at positions 28 to 1378 of the family's 1533-position model. The record is from RNAcentral.
GAUGAACGCUGGCGGCGUGCCUAAUACAUGCAAGUCGAGCGAACGGACGAGAAGCUUGCUUUUCUGAUGUUAGCGGCGGACGGGUGAGUAACACGUGGAUAACCUACCUAUAAGACUGGGAUAACUUCGGGAAACCGGAGCUAAUACCGGAUAAUAUUUUGAACCGCAUGGUUCAAAAGUGAAAGACGGUCUUGCUGUCACUUAUAGAUGGAUCCGCGCUGCAUUAGCUAGUUGGUAAGGUAACGGCUUACCAAGGCAACGAUGCAUAGCCGACCUGAGAGGGUGAUCGGCCACACUGGAACUGAGACACGGUCCAGACUCCUACGGGAGGCGGCAGUAGAGAAUCUUCCGCAAUGGGCGAAAGCCUGACGGAGCAACGCCGCGUGAGUGAUGAAGGUCUUCGGAUCGUAAAACUCUGUUAUUAGGGAAGAACAUAUGUGUAAGUAACUGUGCACAUCUUGACGGUACCUAAUCAGAAAGCCACGGCUAACUACGUGCCAGCAGCCGCGGUAAUACGUAGGUGGCAAGCGUUAUCCGGAAUUAUUGGGCGUAAAGCGCGCGUAGGCGGUUUUUUAAGUCUGAUGUGAAAGCCCACGGCUCAACCGUGGAGGGUCAUUGGAAACUGGAAAACUUGAGUGCAGAAGAGGAAAGUGGAAUUCCAUGUGUAGCGGUGAAAUGCGCAGAGAUAUGGAGGAACACCAGUGGCGAAGGCGACUUUCUGGUCUGUAACUGACGCUGAUGUGCGAAAGCGUGGGGAUCAAACAGGAUUAGAUACCCUGGUAGUCCACGCCGUAAACGAUGAGUGCUAAGUGUUAGGGGGUUUCCGCCCCUUAGUGCUGCAGCUAACGCAUUAAGCACUCCGCCUGGGGAGUACGACCGCAAGGUUGAAACUCAAAGGAAUUGACGGGGACCCGCACAAGCGGUGGAGCAUGUGGUUUAAUUCGAAGCAACGCGAAGAACCUUACCAAAUCUUGACAUCCUUUGACAACUCUAGAGAUAGAGCCUUCCCCUUCGGGGGACAAAGUGACAGGUGGUGCAUGGUUGUCGUCAGCUCGUGUCGUGAGAUGUUGGGUUAAGUCCCGCAACGAGCGCAACCCUUAAGCUUAGUUGCCAUCAUUAAGUUGGGCACUCUAAGUUGACUGCCGGUGACAAACCGGAGGAAGGUGGGGAUGACGUCAAAUCAUCAUGCCCCUUAUGAUUUGGGCUACACACGUGCUACAAUGGACAAUACAAAGGGCAGCGAAACCGCGAGGUCAAGCAAAUCCCAUAAAGUUGUUCUCAGUUCGGAUUGUAGUCUGCAACUCGACUACAUGAAGCUGGAAUCGCUAGUAAUCGUAGAUCAGCAUGCUACGGUGAAUACGUUCCCGGG